Molecule: transfer RNA, 92 nt
Filed under: Felis catus (domestic cat)
Lineage: Eukaryota; Metazoa; Chordata; Mammalia; Carnivora; Felidae
Rfam family: tRNA
About the family: Transfer RNA (tRNA) molecules are approximately 80 nucleotides in length.
Source: Rfam by way of RNAcentral
UCCUGGGUAGCUUAGUUGGUUAAGCACCUGACUCUUGACCUCUCUUCAGGUCAUGAGCUCACAGUUCAUGGGUUCAAGCCCCAACUUGGGCU